UAAGCGAGAUAUGAAAUUGUGUGGCUCAACCAUACACCCAUAUUUCGAACUGCUUAGCUAGAGGACGAGAGAGGUAACUGGAAUUCCCUGUGUAGGAGUGAAAUCCGUAGAUAUAGGGAGGAACACCGAUGGCGUAGGCAGGUUACUGGCUCGUUCCUGACACUCAGGCACGAAAGCGUGGGGAGCAAACGGGAUUAGAUACCCCGGUAGUCCACGCCGUAAACUAUGGAUGCUA
RNAcentral lists this ribosomal RNA (235 nucleotides) under uncultured Candidatus Saccharibacteria bacterium. RNAcentral's name for it is "partial 16S ribosomal RNA". It matches the Rfam family "Bacterial small subunit ribosomal RNA", at positions 584 to 818 of the family's 1533-position model. The record is from RNAcentral. Lineage: Bacteria; Candidatus Saccharimonadota.